UCGCUUAGACUCCUAAAUGCAGUUCUUCUCUCUCGAGACCACCUUGGAUUGGAGAACACCCAAAUGAGCAGGAUUGCUUUUGCUUUCAAAAGGGUGAUACCUGGAGCACAGUAGUUCCACUCUGUGUAACAAUGAUGCAAAGCAGGCGGAGAGCUGACCUAGGGCUUUCAAGUGGGGCAGAGCUGUACCCAAAGGGUUCUCAUUAUGGAGCAGCGAGGGAAUGGUGGCAGCGUGGGCAGAUAAAAUCUCAAUAGAAACCCAGUCCUACUGGCUAGAGUAACUAAGAAAAGGGGCUCUAGGGGGAUGGAGAGUGAGGAGAGAAUACCAGAGUGGAGAGAACUGGAGAAAAAAUUCCCAAUUCUGUAUAUGAAUCUGCACAAGUCUCAGGCUCAUUCUCAAAGAAAAAGAGGAGUAAUAGAUGCAACUAGCAUAGUACAGGUUUUGACAACCAAACUGAGGUUUGAACCACUGCCCACAGAUGGCAAGAUAGAACUUGCAGUCUAAGCCUAAACAGUUCAUUGCCAUAAAACAAGAAUAUCAACAUUCUCCAGAGGAUUAUAAUAGGAUCCAGUGCCUAUAAAAUGUAAAUCCACAAUGCCCAGAUACCAUUCCAAAGUUAUAUGACAUAUAAAAAAACAGAAAAAUGUGUUCACAUUUUUACCCCAGUGGAAAAGAUAAUCAACAUAUGACCAGAUCAAGGUGACCCAGAUGUUGGAAUCAUCAGACACAGGCUUUAAAAUAGCUAUUAUAGCUGCAUACCAUGGAGUAAGGAAUCCAUCCUUGAAAUGUAUGAGAAGAUAGAAGUGGAUAUCUUAAAACUGCAAAAGAAUAAAAUGAAAAAUUUAGAACUGAAAAAUGCAGUAUCUGAAAACUGGAUGGGCUGAAUAGCAAAAUGAAAAUAUAGAAGAAACACCCCAGUGAACUUAAGAAUAGAUCAAUAGAAGUUAUCCAAUCUGAAGAACAGAGAAAAAAUAUUGAAAAAGAGGAACAGAACCUUA
Molecule: long non-coding RNA, 998 nt
Organism: Gorilla gorilla gorilla (western lowland gorilla)
Lineage: Eukaryota; Metazoa; Chordata; Mammalia; Primates; Hominidae
Exons: 3
Source: RefSeq, a predicted model, not a curated record